ACGGGAGGCAGCAGUUGGGGAAUAUUGCACAAUGGGGGAAACCCUGAUGCAGCGACGCCGCGUGAGCGAUGAAGUAUUUCGGUACGUAAAGCUCUAUCAGCAGGGAAGAUAAUGACGGUACCUGACUAAGAAGCCCCGGCUAACUACGUGCCAGCAGCCGCGGUAAUACGUAGGGGGCAAGCGUUAUCCGGAUUUACUGGGUGUAAAGGGAGCGUAGGCGGUACGGCAAGUCAGAAGUGAGAGCCCGGGGCUCAACUCCGGGAUUGCUUUUGAAACUGUCGAACUAGAGUGUCGGAGAGGUAAGUGGAAUUCCUAGUGUAGCGGUGAAAUGCGUAGAUAUUAGGAGGAACACCAGUGGCGAAGGCGGCUUACUGGACGAUAACUGACGCUGAGGCUCGAAAGCGUGGGGAGCAAACAGGAUUAGAUACCCUGGUA
This 435-nucleotide ribosomal RNA is filed under the name uncultured Lachnospiraceae bacterium. RNAcentral's name for it is "partial 16S ribosomal RNA". It matches the Rfam family "Bacterial small subunit ribosomal RNA", at positions 341 to 792 of the family's 1533-position model. Lineage: Bacteria; Bacillati; Bacillota; Clostridia; Lachnospirales; Lachnospiraceae. The record is from RNAcentral.